This 380-nucleotide ribosomal RNA is filed under the name uncultured eukaryote. Its description in RNAcentral is "partial 18S ribosomal RNA". It matches the Rfam family "Eukaryotic small subunit ribosomal RNA", at positions 592 to 976 of the family's 1831-position model. The record is from RNAcentral.
CAAUAGCGUAUAUUAAAGUUGUUGCGGUUAAAAAGCUCGUAGUUGGAUUUCUGUUGAGAGCAGCGCGUCUACCUUUUGGGUAAGUAUGUUGCUUGGUCUCGGCAUCUUCGUGGAAAACGUUUCUGCGCUUGAUUGCGUGGGGCGGGGUUCACGACUUUUACUUUGAGGAAAUUAGAGUGUUCACGGCAGGCAUACGCCUUGAAUAUAUUAGCGUGGAAUAAUAACAUAGGGCUUACGGCCUAUUUUGUUGGUUUCUAGGCUGCAGGCAAUGAUUAAUAGGGACAAUUGGGGGCAUUCGUAUUAACGCGUCAGAGGUGAAAUUCUUGGAUUGCGUUACGACGAACUACUGCGAAAGCAUUUGCCAAGGAUGUUUUCAUUGA